AAGAAAACCACCUUUUAUUUGGGUUUGCUCGCUUCUCGUGUUGCUUUUCCUUUGAAAAGCCGUCUACGAUCGUCUGUUGGGGACAAUAUAGUAAUUUCGAAGAUUUUCUAUUAUAGGUCAUUUCAGGGCCCAGAGUCUCUGGUGACUACAACACCCAGGCGGCAGACGCCACUAUUCUUACGGAGAAAGGGAGAGAGUUCCUUUUCAUUUGAUAUGUGAAGAGCUCAUUUGUGGACACGUCAAGGACCUAAUGGUGUGUAGACGCUCAAAACUACCAUUUGUUCCUCAUACUAUUUAUUCUUUCUUUCCUUCUUGAUUUUCAACUUUUCUUGAAUAUGCUUUGUUAGAUAUGAAUGUGGUGAAUUCCAUUUCUGGUGUGUGGCGUGAUGGGUUUGAUUAGUAUCACUCUUAGUUUCCCUGUUCUUUCUAGAUAAUGAUUGCUCAAUAUUUUAAUUUCCUGUAUUUGGUUUAUCUAAAAUUGCUCUUCUGUUUGGCUAUAUGCUGGUUUGAUGGGUGCCUGCUGACGUAUUUUCUGUCUGUUUAUUUUAUUUUAUUUUGAUUAUCUGUACAGUUGUGGGUAUAAUUGCAUACUCAAUCUCCACAAGUUCUUUUUUUAAGUAAGAGUUUUGUUGUUUGUAUGCGCCUUUUACGUAUAUACUGUUGUUAAUCGCAAUGUCAAGCUAGAUAAAACUUGCUAACAGCAUUUUGUUUUUAAAUGAUGGCGUUCUCUUGAUUUAGUAUUAAUUCAAUAUUGGAUCCCAUAAUGCGGCUCCGUUUUGUUUGUUUUGAUUUACCUUGAAGCGAACUCUGCUCGUCCCUUCACCUGAGUGAUUGAAUAUUUGUGGAAUUAAUUAGAGAAAUAUGAGGCAGAGGAGGUUGGUUUUAAAGGAAAGGCUAAGGUGUUGAACUCAGCAUUCCCACAAUCCCACCCAAAAUAAACUGAAUCAAUUCCAAUUGGUAGAGAAAAGAAGUUUUGAUUGUAUAUUGAGAACUUUUUUACUUAAAUAUAAGACUGUCUUUACCUUAUAGUAAUUCUGAUUUGAAAUUGGUCUUUAAUUGGUGGUUUGAUUUUUAUUUUACACUUCUAUGAUUUUCAUGGCUACUGUACUUUCCAGUUAAGUAGCACUUCUUGUGUAUGAGAAGAUUUUCUGAAAAUAAAUCGACAUUUUAUGCCAUCAUAGAUAGCCUAUUACAUCUAUCCUUGAACUUCAAUACUGUGAAUUGUUGGCAUCUUCUAGGCAAUAACAGUUCCAUGCCUUUAAAGGUAACCUUUUAGCUCAUCUCCACUGAUUAACGUAUCACCGUAUUCAUGUGAUUCAUAAAUUUGAAUCUAUGUCAUCUGAGGAUCCCUUGCAGUUGAAGAUCCUUAUCCCUGAAAUAUUGGGACGAAUUAUCCAUUGAACAUAGUUUUCUAUUUUAAGCCUCUCUGUGAUUUUCUCUUUUUCUGUUAAGUUUAGUGUUUGAGGAUGCCUUUUCUAGAUUGGAAUUACUCUUAUCUGUAGUUGUUGCAUAGGAUGCUCAACGGUUGAAAGUGUCUAUUUCUUUGGUGGUCUUCAGUGUUCAUUUGCACUGGGUAGACUGUCAGAGUUACACUUCUCUUGUUGUGCUCAUCCACAAGCUUCAGUUUUGAAAAAGACCUAAAAGUUGAUAGUCCUGCAAUUUGUAUCCUAGUGCUUGAAUUUUGGGUGCCAUACCAUAAUCAAUUGUUCUCACUCUUUUCAUUCACGUCAAUUAUUCUUGUCAGUUUGCAUAGGUUCUAGCCAUUCUAUGACAAAUUUUCUGUUUCUCAUUUGUUGGUUCUUGUUAUAUUACUUUGAUAAUGUGCCUUACGGCUGAAUAAUCCUGAUAAAAGAACAACAGGAUUGUGUUUUGCACAAUGCAUUGAAGUUUCUUACUUCUGUGAUGUUAAUACAAUCCUCUUUGUUAGCAUGUCAAAUUGGAAAGUUCGCACUUUCAUAAUACAAAUCACAGGAAGCAUGUGCAGGCAUGUACCAUUCUUGUGAUACUCAUGGUGUUGUUAAAAUGAAUUUUCAGAUGGACGCACAAAAUCCUCAACAUGGACAAAUUAUUGAAAUAAGUGUUGAUGUUCCUGAUGGGGGAAGCAGUGUUGGGGGAAGUAAGAUAUGUGGAGAAGCACCUUGUGGAUUCUCAGAU
This 2154-nucleotide unclassified non-coding RNA is filed under the name Hevea brasiliensis (rubber tree). Lineage: Eukaryota; Viridiplantae; Streptophyta; Magnoliopsida; Malpighiales; Euphorbiaceae. The record is from RNAcentral.